This is a non-coding RNA of Callorhinus ursinus (northern fur seal), 559 nucleotides long. The record is from RefSeq and is a predicted model, not a curated record. NCBI's taxonomy places the organism in Eukaryota, Metazoa, Chordata, Mammalia, Carnivora, Otariidae.
GGCUGUCCUUUUCCCUGCGGCCUCUGCUCCGGCGGGAGCACCCCGGCGGAGCUCCAGACACGUGCGGAGGGGACAGCCGUGGGCUUUGGACAGAGGCAGCCCCAGGAUGACUUGAAAGUGGGGCAUCUUGGGUCCUCCUAAAGAGAGAAAAUUAGUGGCUGGUGAACAGUCUGUAUGGCAUUCUCAGAUGCCUUUACCCUAGUGAGAACUCUGCCUCCAUCAGGACCUCAGAUGUCUGACAGCCCUGUGUGACAUCAGGAUAGGAUAUUCCUGUAAAUAUACUGCAGGACGUGUGGCACUCUACAACACUGACAACAUUUACUGCAUGUUGAUGUGCCAGAAUUGGUAAACUCAUUCUACAUCUCUUAAUCCUCUCAACAGGCCUACAAGGUACUGCUGUUAUUUUGCCCAAGGUCACACAGUGGGUCCAGGAACCACUGUGGUGUUCAAUUAAUCUAGCUCCAAAGCUAGUGUUUGAUUUGGAACUUUUAAGUAUGGUGCCCCCAGGUCUUUCCAACUAAUUCUAAUAAAUAAUUGCUUGCCUUCUUUAAUCAUCAAA